AUUGUCUAGUGGUUAGGAUACCUGGCUCUCACCCAGGAGGACCGGGUUCAAUUCCCGGU
RNAcentral lists this transfer RNA (59 nucleotides) under Daphnia magna. It matches the Rfam family "tRNA", at positions 7 to 64 of the family's 71-position model. From Rfam's summary of the family: Transfer RNA (tRNA) molecules are approximately 80 nucleotides in length. Their secondary structure includes four short double-helical elements and three loops (D, anti-codon, and T loops). The record is from Rfam by way of RNAcentral. Lineage: Eukaryota; Metazoa; Arthropoda; Branchiopoda; Diplostraca; Daphniidae.